This 387-nucleotide ribosomal RNA is filed under the name uncultured bacterium. Its description in RNAcentral is "bacterial SSU rRNA". It matches the Rfam family "Bacterial small subunit ribosomal RNA", at positions 28 to 420 of the family's 1533-position model. The record is from RNAcentral.
GAUGAACGCUAGCUGGAGGCUUAAUACAUGCAAGUCGAGCGGGAUUGGUAGCAAUACCAUGAGAGCGGCGCACGGGUGAGUAACGCGUACACGACCUACCUCUGACAGGGGGAUAGCCCUGGGAAACUGGGAUUAAUACCCGCAUAUUAUUCUGAUUAAUAAAGGAUUGGAAUGAAAGCUGAGGCGGUCAGAGAUGGGUGUGCGUCUGAUUAGCUAGUUGGUAGGUAACGGCCUACCAAGGCGAUGAUCAGUAGGGGGCGUGAGAGCGUGGUCCCCCACACGGGUACUGAGACACGGACCCGACUCCUACGGGAGCAGCAGUAAGGAAUAUUGGUCAAUGGGCGAAAGCCUGAACCAGCCAUCCAGCGUGCAGGAAGAAGGCCCUAU